AUAAUGAAAGUGUCACAAAGACUCUUAAUGAGCCAAGCCAGACAUUUGACGUUAAUCUUAUUACCUCAAUACAAAGUACUCAAUCAUGCAAGUAUACAAUAGUUGGUAGAGUUGAUCCUGAUGAAGGAAUAGAAGACAACACUCAGAGAGUUGAAGCAGA
Amphimedon queenslandica is the source of this 160-nucleotide long non-coding RNA. RefSeq lists it as uncharacterized. The record is from RefSeq and is a predicted model, not a curated record. The transcript is spliced from 2 exons. NCBI's taxonomy places the organism in Eukaryota, Metazoa, Porifera, Demospongiae, Haplosclerida, Niphatidae.